Molecule: transfer RNA, 72 nt
Organism: Camelus ferus (Wild Bactrian camel)
Lineage: Eukaryota; Metazoa; Chordata; Mammalia; Artiodactyla; Camelidae
Rfam family: tRNA
About the family: Transfer RNA (tRNA) molecules are approximately 80 nucleotides in length.
Source: Rfam
GAGCAUAUAGCUCAGUGGUAGAGUGCAUGCUUAGCACGCAUGAGGUCCUGGGUUUAAUCCCCAGCACCUCCA